Gossypium arboreum is the source of this 462-nucleotide long non-coding RNA. RefSeq lists it as uncharacterized. The transcript is spliced from 2 exons. The record is from RefSeq and is a predicted model, not a curated record. NCBI's taxonomy places the organism in Eukaryota, Viridiplantae, Streptophyta, Magnoliopsida, Malvales, Malvaceae.
UUCGGCUAAACCAAGCUCCCAUCCUUCUUUUUCUUUCUUAUCAAACCCUAAAUUCCCACUUAAACCGCCGAUUCUCCUUCCCCAAACAGCAACCAACACAUUUAGACUUGAUAGAAUGAUUUUUUCAACCUAGUAAUCUCCUCUUGGCUUCGAUUUCAACUAAGCAAAAGUAGAUCCAUGGCGUAUUUUCAAGGUACAAGGCUGGAUGCAAGCGUGGCAUGCUGGUACGCGGAAGUGGAGGUCGUACGGAGGUGGCGCUAGGGGGGGCUGGGGGCUGCGGCGCGCCUAAAGAAACCCUAGUGUUUCUUAAUUUUUAACUUUAAGGCCAGUUGGGCCAUGUAUUUGUUGGGCUAGGUUUUAGGUCUUGGGUUUAGUUGGGUAUUAUGUAGUUGGGUCAGGGUCUGUAAAUGGACUAUUUAAAAGGUUUAGGCUUUAUAAAUUAUUUGCUUAUUUUUGUUUAAA